UUAAAGAUGUCAGAAAGUUUAUGAGCUUGUUUUAGGUACAAGAUAUAGUACAAGGGGGUACUUCUUUAAA
Molecule: transfer RNA, 70 nt
Filed under: Lepidotrema longipenis
Lineage: Eukaryota; Metazoa; Platyhelminthes; Monogenea; Dactylogyridea; Diplectanidae
Description: tRNA-Leu
Source: RNAcentral